GGGAGAGGGAGAGAGAGACGGAGGAAAGAAGAAAAAAUUCCACUGAGUCGGCAAUCCGCGGCCCCCAGCAGCCGAGGUAGAGGAAAUAGAUGGCAUACCCUGUGCAGGUUACUUCUGCAUCCCAUAUCCCAACUGCAGCACGGCUCCCAGCUCAAGCAAAGCGCAGUACCGACUGGAGAACGCCUACAGAGAAGCAGCGGCUGCUGUGUUGCUGCCCUGGGCAAUCACUCACUGUGCUGGUGCUGCACAACUCCCUGCUCUGCUUCCCAUGACGUCCAGCCCCGGCUGAUUGCACAUACACCAACAGCUCUGCUCUGCAUGCAGGGUGAGCUGGGCCACCCCAGGGCCGAUGUGCACGAUCUGCCUGAUCCAUACCCUCCCUUCUUUGCACAAUCUCUGCCACCCGGAAUCCUUUGCAAUCCAAAGAAGGGGAAAAAAAAGGUGAUGAAAGAAAAUCCAAAGUCAAGCAAUUGCCUGGCAGGGCUCCUACUGACUCCUCACACUUCUUGCUGGGCCUCGGGGCAUGGAGCUCCCGGUGACAUCUCUCCCAGCACACACAGAGCUGCCAUACGUGCAGGGCUGGGAGCACAGGGUUGUGCCGGGGGCACGGAUGUGUCCACAGCCUCCUCUGUUUGCAGCAACAGAGACCGCAGGAAAAUAAAUAAUUGGCCCGGAUCCUCUGCAGCCACACUGCUGCGGUUCUCCACUUCAUCACUCCGAGGCUCGCAAUCCCUUCCUGAGCUGUUUAGCAUCUCUCCUCACAUUUUCACUGCUGGAGCAUUGUUGGCUUUGAUACACAUUGUGCUCUUCCCCUCAAGCGACAAGGAACAAAUGUUCGGUGCAACACAGGAAGCACCCACGGGGUGAGGAAGGAGAGCCUCAGCCUCACUAGCAGUGGCUGCUUGCUUUCACCACUCUGAGUGGGGAGAGGGCAGAGGGCAGCAGCUGGGGACAGCAGCUUGGAUUGCCAGAGGUUCUCCAUCGCAGCCUUGGGCAGGAGGACGGGCAGCGCCUGCUGCUGACAGCACAGAGCUUCCAAGGAAGGGAGGGAUGCCGGCUCUGGGCAGAGCGCCUGGCAGCAGAGAGCGGCCCUCAUGGCUCACUGUGCACUGGAAGCCUCUCAGAUGGGACAGCAGCACAUGGAGGUGAUGUUUAGAACAUGAGUGAAAGUGGAGCUUGGAAGCUGAAGUGGUUGUGGAGUGAAACCACAAGUGGAGCACCAGUGAAGUGGGGCUUGCUUGGCCAUGGCAAGGAGAUGGUAGCAUUCCCUGCUCACCUACCCACUUCUGGGCCAAGAAGGUAAAGACUGGAGAUGCACCUGAGCCAAAACUGCUGCCAAACAUUGCUUGUGUGUCCCGGCACAGCACACCACAAUUCAGCUCUGCUGGAGAUGUCACUACAGCUGACACAGUACCGAUGCAGUGCAAGAUGUGGACCUUCUCCUAAAGAAACUGAAGCCCACAGCAGCAUGCAGACAGCAGCAGUAGGGAUUUCUGCUCCUUGGUGAGAUGCCUUGGGGCCAAAUACCACUAUGCGUACUGUGAUAUGUACCAAAUUUUGCUGCUAUAUUGACUGACACUUGCUUAUAGAACAAGACUCCCAUUUGUGCGAGGCCCCAACUGCUGUGCUCCCGUGUGCUCACAUUGCUGACAACACCUUUCUCAUACACUUACAUCCAUAAGAGAGGACUUUUGUUUCUCUUUUCCUCCGUUUCAUUGCAUCUUUCAUGACUUCCCUGGGUUGCUGGUACUGCUUUGUGCAAGAGACAAAUGCCUGGCAAACGUUUGGGUACUGCUGGCUGUUGGCGCAUUGCAAUGUCAGGAAGAUUUCUGGGCAAGGGGAAAAAAAAGAAGAAGCAAAAAUCGCACCCAGCUGGAACGCCUUCCCAGAAUGCCUGUCUCUUCUCAAGACAGACAGGGCUUGGACGGAACAGAUGUUUCCACCCAAAAGCAGAUGUGGAGAUGUUACUUUCCCAGGGAGGAAAUGUGGUGGGGUUUAUUAUUAACCAACAGCCCCCAUCUGACAGCUUCCCUUGACCAACAGUUGGAAAAUCUGGAAAAAAAACACCGCCGUUGAAGCCAAGUGGUGGCAGGAAGCAGCCAGCCCUGAUGGACUCGCUUGAUUUAUUGUUAUUAAUUACAACCCGGAAAUGACCAACAACAUCUGGGAGAGCCAAACAUGGAAGGGAAAGCAAGCUGAGCACGGGGGCCAAAUUUGUCAUUCCGUGAUGGCCUGAGCACAGUGCUGAGCUUCGGGAAAGGCAGCUGCAGAGUUGUGAGCAGCAUCUGUAGGGCUGCAGGGAGCGGCCAGCAGGGGAAGGGGAACACCGACCCAAACCCAAACCCAAACCAAAUGCAGCGAAUGGGAACAGAAACUCUUUGGAACAGCCAAGUGUCUCAAUGAAGGCAGGAGGCAGACUCCUCCCUGGGGGCAGCUGCUAAGCUCAGGUGUUGCACCAAGCACCAGCUCCUGGAUUCCAGCAAGGAAAUGCUCCCUCGUGCUUCACCUGCCGUGAAAAAACUGCUGGUGUUAAACCUGACUGCGUUCUCUUUGGGAUUUUAAAGUCCUUUUCAAAGGGGAGCCACAGAUUCACCGUGCCCUCUUCACCUCUGCAGAUAUAUUGGUAGAAAUUGAACCUGAAUGGGUUAUUUCCACCCCCUGCUCUUUUCCUUAAUUCGUUUCGUAAGGCACACACUGCAAAAACCAACUGUGGGAAGGUGAGGAGAAGUGCCCCAUAAUUGAGAACAAUACCUCCAAGGGGCUUUUCCAAUGAGGUGCAGAUUUCUCAGGCAUGCAUUUUCUGAGCUGCAGUCAGUAUAAUGAAGUCCAGAACUUUUAGGUUUCCCCUUUAAUAUAUCCAUCAUGUCUAGAUCCAUUAUUGACAUGUUGACUUUCUUGUUUCUGAUUUAAACUGCCAGACUCAGUAAAAUUGCCUUGACAGCUUUAACAUUUGUGGCAGAACACUGACAUGAUGUUACUUACAGCUAAUUAAAGUUGAGAGCAUAAUAAACAAGCUCGGGAUCCUAGCAACCUAAUUUCCUCGGGUAUUGAGUUUGCUGGAUCUUGAGCGGAGUUGUUUGAAGC
Molecule: long non-coding RNA, 3084 nt
Organism: Gallus gallus (chicken)
Lineage: Eukaryota; Metazoa; Chordata; Aves; Galliformes; Phasianidae
Source: Ensembl